RNAcentral lists this small nuclear RNA (21 nucleotides) under Arabidopsis thaliana (thale cress). Its description in RNAcentral is "snRNA_17257". Lineage: Eukaryota; Viridiplantae; Streptophyta; Magnoliopsida; Brassicales; Brassicaceae. The record is from RNAcentral.
AAAGGAUGCAAGCCUCUCCAU